Molecule: long non-coding RNA, 3449 nt
Filed under: Homo sapiens (human)
Lineage: Eukaryota; Metazoa; Chordata; Mammalia; Primates; Hominidae
Description: HSALNT0375279
Source: RNAcentral
CGUGUGGAGGACGAUGGCAGCGAGGGGCCAUCUCUAAGCUGUGCCUACCAGCCAUUGGGAGCACCAGCAUGACAGAUGCCAUUACAGGUCGUGAGGCAUCCCUUGAGGGAGCAGCCUGGUCUCUGAUGCCCCAGGACCUCCCUGGCCCUCCUGCUCUGCGCUCCUUCCUGGGAGGAGAAAUAAGCUCUUGUUGGGUUGAAGUCACUUGUCCCUCAGGGUUUUGCUGCUGUUACUUCCAGCUAAACCUACUCCCAGCUAAUAUUUACAACCAGAGCUGUUUCCAUCACACCAAACUGGAAGAAAUAUGUCUGUGAAGGGAAAGCAUGACCCACACUGAUGGGAGGGAGACCCCAGGCUCCCUGUGGAAGCAAGAAAUGGAAAGAGAAUUCAAUUCUUAGUAGCUACAGGCCAAGCUCACCUUCAGUCCUCCCUAAAGUGAAAAUUUUAUAUGUGCAUGUGUGUGUAUCUGUUUGUGUCUGCACACAUAUAUAAAGAGGUCAGUUCCUGUCCAAAUAAAAAGGGAAAAUAUGUGGAUUGAGAGGGGAUUAUUUAAGAGCCCAUUCUCUGCAGAAUGUUGUUUAUAGCGCAGUUCUGACCUACCUUAGACUGGACAUUAUUAAAGAUAACUGUGUUUGUGGGAAGAUGGGCUUCUGCCCCCUCCUUUUCAUUUAAAGAGAAUGACUUUUUUUUUUUUCUUUAAACACUGGAACUGUUGUCAUGCUAAUCAGGCAGGGAACAUUUCCAAUUCAAUUUUACCUGGGCCUGGUCAGCUGAGUUCCCCUUUGUUGGCCGUCUCUGGGGACCUCCCUUGUCUUUUAAACUGUAAUUUACUUGAGCUGCCAUCAAUUUCCUCUGCUCAUUACAUUUGUGGCGAUGUCACUGAUAUGCAAUCUGUGGAUGCUCCCGGAACCGAGGGGGAAUGGCCGCAUGAACCCAGAAUGAAGGCGGAGCAGGCUGGCCCUCCGCCGGCCCCCAGAAUAAACCGCCCUGGCCACAUGCUCCACUGCCUGUCCAGAAUCCUUGGCCUCAGGCUUGGUUUGCAUUGAAUCUGGGAAUAGAAGCUUUUGCUUCACAGAGGUCUGUCAAGGGGCACCCGGCUCCUUGUCAAUUAGUGAUUUCCAGGAGGUGGACUGGCCCUGGUGCUGGCCCCCGUCCCCUGUUCACUCUCAUCCAGCCUGGGAGGAAUGAGAUUCAGCCAUUUUAAGGGUUUUAUGAUUAAUUUUGAUUGCAGUCACCAGUGACUGUGGAUGUAGGCUGACGGAGCAGGUGUCAGUGAUGCCCCCAUGGCGUGAAGCUGGGCCUCGAGCAGUUGUCUGGUAACAUGAGGCCACUGGGAACAGUUCCUGGUGCAGGAGGUAGUGAUGCUGCCAUCACCCCAAACGCCGUCCUCCGAGUAGCCCCUGACGUGACCCUGCGGGAGGUGUCAGCUGCGUGCCCCUGAGGCCCUGCACCCUCCACAUUCUGGGCUGGCUCUCCAGAUUCCUCCAGGCACCAGGGUGGCUUCCUGCAGGGAGGGUGGCGCGUUUCCUUUCCUGUCACCGACAACCCUGAGCUCCCGCCCUCCUCUCCCUUCUGUUUUCCUCUUCGCUCUUUCUUCCACACGUGUGGUCUCCAUUCUUUUUCCUUUCUCUCCUGCUCUUGCUCUCCAGUCCCUCCUAGAGUUAUUGUUGACAAAAGCCUGGUCCCCGUUAGUGUUUAAUGGUGAGAAGGGGUCAAUGCACUUACAAGCAGCAGCUCCAAACUUCAUAUACCCUGAAAAUAUCCUGACAUAUGGCCCUGUUCUCAGGGGCAGGCAUGUUGGCUUCAAAUAUUUCUGAUGUGCUCCUGAAGAUGCUCCUGUUACAUUCUUCCCGGAGUCAAAUAACAGAGUUGUCAAUUUACCCAUUCACUGCUGCCAGAUACAUGCAAAUGGAUGGGAUCAAUAUUCCACGUUAACCGUGCACCUGGGGGGCUCACCCCAUCAAAGAGGCUGUGAUGGGUCAGCAGCAGGCUGAGCACAGCAUGGACCUGGACCCACCCCGGGUCCCAGUUGGCCCGCUUCCCUUGGCAGGAGGGCCCGGACACUCACAUCUUGUCACAACCAGUGCUGAUGGGUUUUCUCCCCACUUGAGUGCUUUUGGCAUGGGAUGAUGAAGCCCCUAAGGUCAGGUAUUUCAUUUCUUCUUGUCCCUGGUGGCAAAGGACAUGCAGACUGGGUGAGGUUGAUACUGUUUUCUUGGUCUGAGGACAUCCUCUUAAUAAGUACACCUGUGGAUUUUUGCCUAAGGGUGCAUUUUCUAAAUGCUUACCUGCCCAGCUCAGUUGACACUCAGACGGACCAGGUGGGUGAGCUGGUGACUUUGUCAUUCACGUGCUCAUGGCUGCCUGUGGCUGAGUUUCCCUCCCUCCAACCUGGAGCUCUGAAGCUGAAGCAUCUCUGCCUGGCAAUUUCCUGUCUGGGCAUUGUGUAGGAGGCGCUUCCUAGAACAGGGUGGGCAGAAGGGCUUGGAAACAGGAGUGGCUCGGUCAACCGUGGACUAGAAAAAGCUGCAUUUCCUGCAGUGGGGCUUGAUAUUGUGUAGGGGCUAUGGGAUGGUGGAGAGGGCGUGAGUCUGUGAGCAGAAGGCGGGGGACCUCCAGCUUUGCUCUCCACAGCUGUGUGAGCCUGCAGGGGCACUACCUUCUCUGGACCUCUGUUCUUUACAUGGAAAACGAAUGUUGUGAUAUCAAAUGAAUAAUGAAUGUGAAGGCGUGGGCACAGCUCCAAAAGCAAUCCAGGGCUGGCCCUUCUUAUGUAGAACACACAGGGCCCCGAUAUCUCACCGCGUAUUUAGUGUGUAGCAUGUUAACUGGACUUAAGUAUUACUUAUUUUGCAAGGAAAGUGUGCCCAUGGCUUGGUCAAAAUUCAGGCUGUGAGGCCUCCAUCCAAGUUAAAAGACAGCCAAACACUCAGGGCUCCAUCCAAGUCCCUCCUAAUAACAUAAUGAAAUAGAUGGUAAGGAAUUAUGUUUAUUUAAUCGGUGUGUUGGUGGGGAGCAGUGCCAUGUCACGACAGCUGCUUUUGAAUCAUCGAUCUUCGCCGAGGACACCACACAUUUGUUGCCAGUCAGCAAGGUGUGGCCUACAAGCAUCUUUCAAAAUAUUCAAAACAUUUCAAACCAGCCGGAAAGGUGAGAAAGUGGUCCCUUUGGGAAUCCAUUCCUAGCAUGAAUGCUUUCCUUCCAUGCACGCUCAGAUGGACACUCGCAGAACAGAUCCAGGCUCAGUAUCAGCCUCUGCUGGUCCCUUCUUGCUGCCCACAUUAGCAGAGCCCAUCUGCGUUCCUGGCGUGGACUUGGCCACCCAGCGGGGGCGGUGUCCCAUGACUCUGUACAUCCAUAAGGGACAUGGCAUGGUGUGCAGCCAGUGACAGAAAGGACAAGCUUAGAGGUCAGAAGGAGCCCCAAGGUCACAGCACGACUACAGUGGU